This is a long non-coding RNA of Bombyx mori (domestic silkworm), 1937 nucleotides long. RefSeq lists it as uncharacterized. The transcript is spliced from 2 exons. The record is from RefSeq and is a predicted model, not a curated record. Lineage: Eukaryota; Metazoa; Arthropoda; Insecta; Lepidoptera; Bombycidae.
CGAUUCUGUAAGCGUUGUUUAACAAACUCGCACGUGAAUUUGGUGUGAGUUUUCAAAUUGGCAUUCUGUAAAUUUCAUUGUAGUGCCGAAUCUACACUAGCGCCCCUCGCGGGUGAAUUGAACUAGCAAGCGUGAGUUUUUUUUACUAAAAUGUAUGAGUUGACGUUUGAAACGGCAUUCUGUAGUGUAAAUCACGUCGAAUUUCGACAAGAACUUCGCAUCGCAAAAUCAUUUUAUUUGUCAAAUCAAAAGUUAGUGUUUUAAGUGUUUGUUGUGAGUGAGAAUAUACGAAAACGUUAUAAACCGCUGUUAAUUAUUAAAAAAAUACUAUUAAUUAACAAAAUUGCACUUUAAAAUAACUUUAUUCUUCAUCGAUAUUUUAUGGAGCGUAUGUUUUUAUUGAAAACAUUGUUGAAAAGGCUGACGCUACGGAUCAGCGUGAAAUGCGUCGACAAGCCUACGAAAUUCACAAUUUAUCACUUUUAACUUGAGAUGACGACUAUGUAAAAGUAUAAAGAAAGUGUAUAGAUUGUCGAAGGAUCAUAUGAACCAGUUAGGGUGUGAAUUACACCCUUUGACGAAGACCACUAAAAGCCAUUGAAAAGGACUUUCAACUCUUCUAAAGUUUCAGUUAUUGUGCACCUUGUUUAUUUGGGCAAAUGAAGUUACCAAAAAAAUCAUAAAAGAAAAUAUAAGAACAUAUUUGUCCCAGAUAUCCCAGUGUAUAUCUGAGGUUGUGGAGGCUCUGAACAACCCAGCAACUAUAUAUAAAUAUUUAAGAUUCCCGCAGAAUGCUCAAGAAUGGCAAAAGUUGAAGGAUAACUGAAGAAAAAAGAAGAAGGUGGUUUAAACUAAAUAAAUAUUUUUUUUCUUCAUAAAAAAGUACCAAUAUUAAUCUAAUGCUAAAUAUUGCAGUUUUUGUAAAAAAAUUAAAAACACUUUGGUUGUUGGGUGUAUUGAUGGGACGUUGGUGGCCUUAAAAAGACCUGCUACCAAUAAAAAAUGGUUUUACUGUCACAAAGGCUAUCAUGCCAGAAAAUGUACAAUUUGUAAAGCCAUUAAUAUUUUUCGAAAUUCUGAUGAUAUGUAAUCCAUAAACGAAAUGUGUAUUAUAAACUAUGUAUUCAGAUUGUAUUCAUUUCAGUUAAAUUGAAUUGUGUAUAUUGCUUUAAAGUUAUUGUGAAAUUUAGUAUUUAUAUUAAAUAAACUUUAUUCAGUUAUAAAAAAAACAAAAUAAAAUCUACUAAAGAUUAGUCAAUGACAGCAAGUAAUGACCAUUAUAAUUAUUUAACAUCUUUUCGGUCUUUCUGUAUAAUAUAUGCUCAACGUUCCAACCUUAUGACACCUUUUGCAAAUUUUUUUUUCAUUUCACCAUCUAAAUGGUUAGACGAGCUCACAGCCCACCUGGUGUUAAGUGGUUACUGGAGCCCAUAGACAUCUACAACGUAAAUGCGCCACCAACCUUGAGAUAUAAAUUCGAAGGUCUCAGUAUAGUUACAACGGCUGCGCCACCCUUCAAACCGAAACGCAUUACUGCUUCAGAAAUAGGCAAUAAUGCUAUGCUAGCUAAUACCUGCUAAUAAUGGCUAGCUAAUGCUAAUACGGAGAGAGAUACUCCUGAAGCUUUGUAGCACCACCUUCAUUCCACUGCCCGUAACUCAGUGAAAAGAACAAUAGUUCUGCUAAAGAGUAGAUUCAGGUGUUUGCUGAUCCAUAGGGUGCCAAUUUAUCACCCUGAUAAGGUAGCAAAAAUAGCUGUUGCGUGUUGUGUUUUGCACAACAUUUGCAAUUGUGCAGAGCUGCCAGUUCCCAUAAUCUCAGAUUAUGAGAUUACAUUUACAUUAUGGUGGUCAUGUUGAAUUACUUUGUUAAAUUCUACUAAUUAGCUUACUUAUAGUGUGAAGUAACUUCAAAUAUAAAUUAAUGAUUUAUAAAAA